Molecule: transfer RNA, 76 nt
Filed under: Nocardioides exalbidus
Lineage: Bacteria; Bacillati; Actinomycetota; Actinomycetes; Propionibacteriales; Nocardioidaceae
Description: tRNA_Thr_TGT
Rfam family: tRNA
About the family: Transfer RNA (tRNA) molecules are approximately 80 nucleotides in length. Their secondary structure includes four short double-helical elements and three loops (D, anti-codon, and T loops). Further hydrogen bonds mediate the characteristic L-shaped molecular structure. tRNAs have two regions of fundamental functional importance: the anti-codon, which is responsible for specific mRNA codon recognition, and the 3' end, to which the tRNAs corresponding amino acid is attached (by aminoacyl-tRNA synthetases). tRNAs cope with the degeneracy of the genetic code in two manners: having more than one tRNA (with a specific anti-codon) for a particular amino acid; and 'wobble' base-pairing, i.e. permitting non-standard base-pairing at the 3rd anti-codon position.
Source: RNAcentral
GCCGGUGUAGCUCAGUUGGUAGAGCGCAUUACUUGUAAUAAUGAUGUCGCGGGUUCGAUUCCUGUCACCGGCUCCG